UACGUAGGGGGCAAGCGUUAUCCGGAUUUACUGGGUGUAAAGGGAGCGUAGACGGCGAGACAAGUCUGAAGUGAAAGCCCGGGGCUCAACCCCGCGGACUGCUUUGGAAACUGCCUUGCUGGAGUGUCGGAGAGGUAAGUGGAAUUCCUAGUGUAGCGGUGAAAUGCGUAGAUAUUAGGAGGAACACCAGUGGCGAAGGCGGCUUACUGGACGAUAACUGACGUUGAGGCUCGAAAGCGUGGGGAGCAAACAGG
This 254-nucleotide ribosomal RNA is filed under the name uncultured Lachnospiraceae bacterium. RNAcentral describes it as "partial 16S ribosomal RNA". It matches the Rfam family "Bacterial small subunit ribosomal RNA", at positions 524 to 776 of the family's 1533-position model. Lineage: Bacteria; Bacillati; Bacillota; Clostridia; Lachnospirales; Lachnospiraceae. The record is from RNAcentral.